UUUGUACUCCAUCCGUCCGAAAAUUCUUGUCUUAAAUUUGUCUAAAUACGGAUGUAUCUAGUUACAUUUUAGUGUUAGAUACAUCAAUAUCUAAACAAAUGUAAGACAAGAAUUUUGGGAUGGAGGGAAUACUAC
Triticum urartu is the source of this 135-nucleotide non-coding RNA. The record is from Rfam. NCBI's taxonomy places the organism in Eukaryota, Viridiplantae, Streptophyta, Magnoliopsida, Poales, Poaceae.